UACGAAGGGGGCUAGCGUUGUUCGGAAUCACUGGGCGUAAAGCGCACGUAGGCGGAUCUUUAAGUCAGAGGUGAAAUCCCAAGGCUCAACCUUGGAACUGCCUUUGAUACUGGGGAUCUUGAGUCCGGGAGAGGUGAGUGGAACUGCGAGUGUAGAGGUGAAAUUCGUAGAUAUUCGCAAGAACACCAGUGGCGAAGGCGGCUCACUGGCCCGGUACUGACGCUGAGGUGCGAAAGCGUGGGGAGCAAACGGA
RNAcentral lists this ribosomal RNA (253 nucleotides) under uncultured bacterium. RNAcentral describes it as "partial 16S ribosomal RNA". It matches the Rfam family "Bacterial small subunit ribosomal RNA", at positions 524 to 776 of the family's 1533-position model. The record is from RNAcentral.